UGGGCCGGUUUCUUUCGUAGGCGUCUUUCCAGACGGGUUCGACGGUGAGGGACGAAAGCUGGGGGCACGAACCGGAUUAGAUACCCGGGUAGUCCCAGCCGUAAACGAUGCUCGCUAGGUGUCAGGCAUGGCGCGACCGUGUCUGGUGCCGCAGGGAAGCCGUGAAGCGAGCCACCUGGGAAGUACGGCCGCAAGGCUGAAACUUAAAGGAAUUGGCGGGGGAGCACAACAACGGGUGGAGCCUGCGGUUUAAUUGGACUCAACGCCGGACAACUCACCGGGGACGACAGCAAAAUGUAGGCCAGGCUGAAGACCUUGCCUGAAUCGCUGAGAGGAGGUGCAUGGCCGUCGCCAGUUCGUACUGUGAAAGCAUCCUUGUUAAGUCAGGCAAACGAGCGAGAACCCAAUA
RNAcentral lists this ribosomal RNA (409 nucleotides) under Methanosarcina sp. enrichment culture DGGE gel band Met2. RNAcentral describes it as "bacterial SSU rRNA". It matches the Rfam family "Archaeal small subunit ribosomal RNA", at positions 652 to 1058 of the family's 1478-position model. Lineage: Archaea; Methanobacteriati; Methanobacteriota; Methanomicrobia; Methanosarcinales; Methanosarcinaceae. The record is from RNAcentral.